RNAcentral lists this long non-coding RNA (1896 nucleotides) under Gossypium barbadense (sea-island cotton). RNAcentral describes it as "long non-coding RNA (GBAR_LNC000479)". Lineage: Eukaryota; Viridiplantae; Streptophyta; Magnoliopsida; Malvales; Malvaceae. The record is from RNAcentral.
AAUUAAGUUAGUAAAUUAAAUUUAAAAAAAAUGAAAUGGCUAGUGCAGUUCCCAAAGCCACGUUACAAGAAACGAAAAUAAAAAAAUAAAACCAUUCAAUCAAAAACCAUUUACAAAACCUAAAAAGAAAGAAAAUAGAACCAGAUAGAAACCCAACAAUUUCCUUGUAUGACAGCCACAAAAUCCCCCAAUCUAGAUGCGUUUCUCCGCUUGAACCAACCGAAUGAAGACAUUUUAAACAGUCACUGCUCUUAAUCCAAAAUGCAGGAAAUCACAACACCUCCACUCAUCUAGCAAUACCUUGAAAGCUCAUCGCCUCCUCCACCCAUUGCAUGUCGCGUCUCCGAAGAAACCCCUCCUUGGCGAGCAGCUAAGGGAGAAGCUGGAAGCAGCAGUAAGAAAGGGAAAGGCACGGCUUCAAAGUAGUUUCAGUUGGAUUUUCUGGUGAGAUUCUCACACCCUUGUUCUUUUCUCUUCUUUUCUUAUUGUUCUGUCAAAUGGUGAAAUUGGUAAGGCUGGAAGGAGAUGGAAGUUGAACGGUUGUUGUAUUUAGAUAGCAUGCAUGCUAAUAAUGUUUUUAUUUUCUACUUAAUACCUUAUUGAUUAUGAGUUAACAUGAAUGUUCAGUUGAACAUAUACCUUGAAUUAUGUUCAAAAAUUUUAAUUGAUUAGUUGUACUCUUAUUUUUGCUUUUGAAUAUUUGAAAUAUUGAAGGUGAAAAGCUGGAAAAUUUCAUGUUGAAAUGUUGUCCAAAUGCUGGAAAUUUAGCAUGCAUAUUCUUUUAUUUAAAUGCUUUGACCGGCUAUUGUAAAUGAAGGAAUGUGUGAUUGUGGAUUAUUAAAUUUGACUAUAGAUUGGAAGUGUUUAAUGCUGACCAAAUGCUGAAAAUAUAACAUAUAAAUCCCUUUGAUUUAAAUUCCAUUAACUUCUAUUUUAAAUGAAGGGAACUUCAGUUCAAUGUUGUCAUUUUUUUAUUUGGCUACUUAUUGUAAGGGUUAAAUGUGACCGAAUGUUGGAAAAAAAAAAUGAGUUGUUAUUGAUUUUAAGACCAGGGAUUUAAAUAGCGGCCCGCAAUCGGAAUAGCGGCCGUUAUAUUGCGGUAGCGGCACUGUCCGAAACCGCUAUUGCUAAAAAUAGCGGUGUGAAGCGGAGUCACACCGAUAGCGGCAGAUCGCGGCCACAAUUUAACAGGUAACGGCCGAUUGCGGCAAUAAUGGGCCACUAUUCCCGUUAUUUCCCGUUAUAGUAAAUAAAAUGAAAUUUCAUCUAUCAACAUUCAACAGAAACACAAAUAGUCAACACAAUAAAACAAAAGCCAAAAGGGAAUAUAUUCCCCUGCAAAAUCAGAGUUUUCAAUCAAAAUAAAAAAUAAAAAGAAGUUGAAUACUUGAAAUCUGGAAAGCAAACAAUAGUACAACACAGCAGCAUUCGGAGCAAUAGAAAAUAACAUAGGGAUUUAAAUUUCUCAAUCUCAUAUUUCGGCAAACAAGUGAACAACACAGCAGUAGAUAAAAGUGUCGAGGACUUGAAUCUGAAAAACAAACCCUGCCCUAAUCACUUGCACAUUCAAAGAUUGAUAAUUUUUAAGUAAGUUACCUGAAAUUUUAUCUUGGUUCUUGCUUGCAUGUCUUGAAUCUGCACUUCUGCAAUGCAUAUGUUCUUUAGAGACUUUAGGGAUGAACCGAUGAAGGGAGAAGGCACAACAACCAGCAACAUAUUCCAAGAAUUUCAGAGGAGAGGAUGAUAGAGUUUUUAAAACUCUUCAGUUUUUCUUCUAAAUUUUGUGUGUUUACUGUUUACUGUUUAGGGAUUUAACUUUGAUUUGAAGAAAUAAGAAGAAGUGAAGAAGUAGAAGAACAGAGGCGUUUUGUGGGUUAUAAAUUUUGUGUGUUUGUC